GAUGAACGCUGGCGGCGUGCCUAAUACAUGCAAGUCGAGCGAACGGACGAGAAGCUUGCUUCUCUGAUGUUAGCGGCGGACGGGUGAGUAACACGUGGAUAACCUACCUAUAAGACUGGGAUAACUUCGGGAAACCGGAGCUAAUACCGGAUAAUAUUUUGAACCGCAUGGUUCAAAAGUGAAAGACGGUCUUGCUGUCACUUAUAGAUGGAUCCGCGCUGCAUUAGCUAGUUGGUAAGGUAACGGCUUACCAAGGCAACGAUGCAUAGCCGACCUGAGAGGGUGAUCGGCCACACUGGAACUGAGACACGGUCCAGACUCCUACGGGAGGCAGCAGUAGGGAAUCUUCCGCAAUGGGCGAAAGCCUGACGGAGCAACGCCGCGUGAGUGAAGAAGGUCUUCGGGUCGUAAAACUCUGUUAUUAGGGAAGAACAUAUGUGUAAGUAACUGUGCACAUCUUGACGGUACCUAAUCAGAAAGCAACGGCUAACUACGUG
RNAcentral lists this ribosomal RNA (497 nucleotides) under uncultured bacterium. Its description in RNAcentral is "partial 16S ribosomal RNA". It matches the Rfam family "Bacterial small subunit ribosomal RNA", at positions 28 to 507 of the family's 1533-position model. The record is from RNAcentral.